UGCCAACGCAGCGCUGCCACCCUCUGCACUGGGAUGUCCGCCUGCUCGCCGGGGCCCCUUGCUGCUCCUCGGCCUUGAGCACAGCCGGGCGGGCAGGCAGCUGGCGGGGACAGGCCAAGGGUUCAUUUUCUCUGUCAAUGAAAUCAGUUCUACUCUUGAUCAACGUAUUGCUCUAUUCCAUCUGCACUGCGCUCAGACAGCUCAAGUGUCAGGAGUCAAGAAGAUUUCCUCGAGUGAAAAUCACCCUACAAGUCAUCAAAUCCUCAUAAACAAUGAUCCCCAAAGGUUCCUUUUGGAAAAUAACUUCAGUAACUGAAGGACAAGUGGAUCACCAACUUCCAGGAGAGGAAGGAAGCCCAGGGGCCUUUGGGGAUGUCCUUUGCUUCUGUCCAUUCCGAUCUCUCCGUUCCGGGGGCCAGCUCCCAGGCCUGGGCAGGGCGGGGCGCCAGAAGAGCUUGGGAGGGAAGAGCCAGAAAAUUCCAGCCCAGCAUCUUCUGCAGGGCUGACCCAGUCUCGCCAGUCUUGUCUCCUCGAUGGCCUACUGCUUGCACACCUGGCCUGGCCUGACCCAGUGCAGGAAGAGCAUUUCCUAAGUGGAAUGACUUGCCUCUUGUCAACAGUACACUGGUUUGGGGCUUGGGGGUGGAGGUAGAGAGGAGCCCAGAAUGCUGCUCCAGAACAGCUAGCUUCUUGGACUUCCCAUCUGCAAGAUGGGCACCAGAAUCCCCUCCCUGUCUGCCCCUCUGCAGUGUGCUAUGAGGAGCCCAGGAGAACCUGAAUG
Non-coding RNA from Manis javanica (Malayan pangolin), 781 nucleotides. Lineage: Eukaryota; Metazoa; Chordata; Mammalia; Pholidota; Manidae. The record is from RefSeq and is a predicted model, not a curated record.